This 1239-nucleotide long non-coding RNA is filed under the name Homo sapiens (human). RNAcentral describes it as "prostate cancer associated transcript 19". Lineage: Eukaryota; Metazoa; Chordata; Mammalia; Primates; Hominidae. The record is from RNAcentral.
UGAGGUCUCAUGUCUGCUUAUGCGGUGGCUCGCUGCUCAGAACAGGGAGGAAGAGGGUAAUCUGGAAGAGUUUCCUGACCUACUCUGCUGCUGUGAUUAAACAACCACCAGGAAAUUUUGAUGACACUGUUCUCCUGAGCUCCUCCCUUUCCUCGGGGAAGAAAAGCAUUGAAACUACAAAAAUAAAGUGUUAUUUGGCUGGAGUGAGGUCUCAUGUCUGCUUAUGCGGUGGCUCGCUGCUCAGAACAGGCUAGAUGCCUGGAAUUUCCCUUGAAGGAAGUCAAGAUUUUCCUUUAUCUCCAUACUGGCUGAUGGUGAUCGAGUAAGCCCCUAAGAGGGGUCCCUGCUCCAUCUCGAGAUGCUGCUAGAUUCUACAGUGCCUAAUAAACAGCUCUCGCCUGGCCGACAAAGAGCUGCUUGCUCUCUGGAUAGCAAUUCCAAAGUGAACAGACAACAUCCUGUUUGGAAGACUGCCACUCUGUUAGAAGAAGCAUCAGGAAAACCUUUCUUUUGAGCUAUUUAUAACUAACAGCAAUUGACCAAGUAUACUUUUGAACCAUUGGAGAUACUCAUUACUCUUUGAAGGCUUACAGUGGAAUGAAUUCAAAUACGACUUAUUUGAGGAAUUGAAGUUGACUUUAUGGAGCUGAUAAGAAUCUUCUUGGAGAAAAAAAGACUGGUACUUCUGAAUUAACCAAAAUCACAGUAUUCUGAAGAUGAUUCUACAAAGCCUGCUGUUUCUACAAAGGCUGCUGAUGAUUUCUACAAAGCCUGCUGUAGUGUUGCUGUGGCCUCUGCUUAAAAAAGUAGAAAACACAUUGAUGCAGCAUGUUCACCCCAACCUCCCUGCCUAAAGGCUCAGGGACCAUCUUGGAAGAGGAAGGCGCGUGAGAUUGUAAGAGCCGAAUUAGGGGGAUGGAGUGUGGAGAAUAAGGACACUUCAUCUUGGAUGCUCACCUGCCAAAUUGACUUCUGAUGAAAGCCAGCUCCAGAAAUGUGCCUACAGUUACUACUUUCACCUAAACCCUGCCCUUAGUCAAAUCCUUCUCUUCUUCUAAGCAAUCAACUUCAAUUCCUUGUAUAACCCACAGUAUAAAAGGGCUUUUAUACCAUUCUAUCCUAUUGCAUGUAAGCCUUGGGUCUGGGAGGUAACAGUGUGGGAUUCCACCAUCUCAUCUCCCUGCCACCCAAACAUGCCUGCUCUUCUUUAAGCAAUAUUAAAUGUUUGUACUUCAGAAA